AGAACGAACGUUAGCGGCGCGCCUAACACAUGCAAGUCGAACGAGAAAGGGCUUCGGCCCCGGUAAAGUGGCGCACGGGUGAGUAACACGUGACUAACCUACCCUGGAGUGGGGGAUAACUGAGGGAAACCUUAGCUAAUACCGCAUAACACCUACGGGUCAAAGGAGCAAUUCGCUUUGGGAGGGGGUCGCGGCCGAUUAGUUAGUUGGCGGGGUAAUGGCCCACCAAGACAGUGAUCGGUAUCC
Molecule: ribosomal RNA, 246 nt
Filed under: uncultured bacterium
Lineage: Bacteria
Description: partial small subunit ribosomal RNA
Rfam family: Bacterial small subunit ribosomal RNA
Source: RNAcentral